UUUUUUUAUCCCCAAACGCGCACGUGUGUUAGAAUAUUGUUUUAUUUUCCACAAAUUUCUUAAUUGUUUAAACAAAAAAUUGUGCAAAUUUAUUGAAUUAUUAGUUAUUAAUAAAGUGUAAAUAAUUUCCAAACAAAAUGGCUAAAGAUAAAGUGUUAAAAAAAGAAAAACAAAUAGCUGAAAAUAAAGCUUCUAAAAAGGCGCCAGAAAAUGGAGUCUCGAAACCAACUACAAAUAGUGGCAUUUGGCAAGAUGAACGUUUUCAACAUUUGGUGUCCGAUCCGCGCUUUAAAAGUCUACCCAAGCAGCAAAGAAAAGUAAAAAUUGAUAAACGCUUCCAGGGCAUGUUUACAAAUGAUAAAUUCAAAGUGAAAUACACAGUGGACAAGUAUGGCAGACGUGUUAACAAAUCAAAUGCGGAGGAUUUGAAAAAGUACUAUGAAUUGGAUUCUAGUGCGGAGGAAAGUGAUGAAGAGGCAGAAAAACUAGAAAAAGAAAUUGAGGAAGAAAACUCACAGGCCGACUCUUCGGAUGAAGAGGAGGAGCUGGCCGAAAGGGAAAAGGAAGAAAAGGCCAUUACACAGAAGGAUAGUGAUGCAGAUGAAAACGAUGCGCUGGAAAGUGAUGGCGAGGAUGUGCCUAAAACGUUGCGUGAACGUUUAUUAGAUCCCAAUAUCGAUUAUGCCAGAGGUGAGGGUCGCUUAGUAACAGAUUCCUCCUCGGAUGAUGAAUCCUCAGAAGAUGAGGACCCCGAAAUGUAUAUAGAUCAUGUUUGGGGUGAAUUGGCCAAUGACGCUGAAAGCACUGAAGAGUCUACUAGACGUUUGGCGGUCUGCAACAUGGAUUGGGAUCGUGUGAGAGCAGUGGAUUUAAUGGUGUUAUUUAGUUCCUUUUUGCCACCGGGUGGCUCGGUAUUAAGUGUGAAAAUUUAUCCCUCAGAAUUUGGCAAAGAACGUUUGAAGGAGGAAGAGUUGCAUGGCCCACCUGAAUUGGUGGGUUUGUCUAAGGAAGCCAACAAGCAACAGAAGGGAUACUCUAGUAAAAAAGCCGAAGAUGAUUCCUCCGACGUUGAUUCUGAGGAAGAAGAUGAAUUGGUUCAGGAACAGGACAGUGACGCUGGCGAGGGAGAUGAUUAUCACAUGGAAAAACUAAGACAAUAUCAACUUAAUCGUUUACGUUACUAUUAUGCUGUAGUGGAAUGUGAUUCUAUAGAAACGGCCGAUAAGAUCUAUCAAGAAUGUGAUGGCAUAGAAUAUGAAAGUUCAGCUACUAAAGUUGAUCUUAGAUAUAUACCCGAUGAUACCAGUUUCGAUGAUGAUGAGCCCUCAGAUGUUUGCAAUGAAUUGCCAGAUGCCAAUAGCUAUCAACCCAGACAGUUUACCACUACAGCUUUGCAACAGGCCAAAGUAGAUUUAACUUGGGAUGAGACUGCGGUAGAUAGAAAAGAAUUGGGCGACAAAUUAUCUGCUGGCAAAUUAGAUGGUAUAAGUGAUAAGGAUUUAAGAAAAAUAGUGGCUUAUAGCAGUGAAGAAGAACAGGAUGAGGAAAACAGUGAAGAGGAAGAACAAGAAAGUGAAAAUGAAAAAGAAAUUAAAGACGAUAGUAACAAAUCCCAAGAAAAUAAGGAAGACAAAAAAACGAAAGAAAAGCCCAAGAAAAAAACCAAUAAGAAAGAAGAAGUGAUAAACAAAUACAAGGCCCUGUUGGCGGAAAUUAAUGAAAAGGAAGAAAAAGAAAAACAGAAAAAGAAAUAUGAAAUGGAAUUCUCUUGGGAAGUAAAUAAUGACAAAACAAAUCCUUUCAAAGAUGAUGAAGCAGCAGAAGAAGAAACUAAAAAAGCGCAACAAAAUCUAACGCCCAUUGAAAAAGUGUUACAGAAACGUAAUGAAAAGAAUAAAAAACGUAAAGAGGAAAGAAGGAAAAAGAAAUUACAAUCUACUGGCCAAGAUUCAGAAUCUGAACUCGAUUCCAUACCCGAUAAUAUUGAUAUGGAUGAUCCCUAUUUUGCAGAAGAAUUUGCCAAUGGAGAUUUCAUAGAUCCCAAAACUAAACGUAAAGAAAAACAGAAAAAGCAACAGCAACUAAAGGCUGAGCAGGAGCAAGAAGAUGAAAAACAGGCCAAAGAAUUGGAAUUACUAUUAGAUGACAAUAACGAAGAGGAUGGCAAACAACAUUUCAGUUUAGAUAAAAUCUUAAAAAGUGAACAAGAUACUAAAUCCAAAAAGAAACGCAGAAAACAGCUAAAGAAAUCUAAAACAGCCAUCGAAGAGUCACAAAAACCUGUAGAAGACAAUUUCCAAUUGAACUUAGACGAUCAACGUUUUAAGGCUGUUUUCACCUCUCAUGAAUUUAAUAUUGAUCCCACCGAUUCACACUUUAAAAAAACUAAAGCCAUGGAACAAUUAAUACACGAAAAACUUAAAAGAAGACAUGGUGAUGAAAAAACUGAAACGCAAACACAAAAUGAUAACGAAUCCGUUGAAAGUGCAAGUAAAAAACCUAAAAAACAUACUGAAACUAAUAUGUUAGUAAAGAGUCUUAAACGCAAGAUACAAAUGAAACAACAACAAGGCAAAUAAUCGAAAGCUGUUAUUUGCUGCUGUUAAUCAAGGAGUUGGAGAUUUUAUAAUGGAUCGUAGCUGUUGGUUUGCUUCAUUGUCCAGAAAAGUAGUUCAAUUUAAUAUAACUUCAUCACAUACAUCACUUAAAUUCUUCCAAAAGGCAAUAAAAUCUGGAUGAAUUCAAAGUCAACUGAAGGGCUUUUAACUUUUUCUUUCAUAUUUACACACUACAGAAAAGGAUUCAUCUCAAUUAUAACAACCUCCAAAUGUAACUAAAUACAAAAUUGUUAAAGUAGGUAAUGAAAGUAGUUAACAUGAUCUUAAUUAAUAAAAGAAAUUGAUUAAAUAAAAACUU
This 2916-nucleotide unclassified non-coding RNA is filed under the name Lucilia cuprina (Australian sheep blowfly). RNAcentral describes it as "eSF1 homolog, transcript variant X2". Lineage: Eukaryota; Metazoa; Arthropoda; Insecta; Diptera; Calliphoridae. The record is from RNAcentral.